This 293-nucleotide ribosomal RNA is filed under the name uncultured Pseudomonadota bacterium. Its description in RNAcentral is "uncultured proteobacterium partial 16S ribosomal RNA". It matches the Rfam family "Bacterial small subunit ribosomal RNA", at positions 159 to 454 of the family's 1533-position model. The record is from RNAcentral. Lineage: Bacteria; Pseudomonadati; Pseudomonadota.
UGUGCUAAUACCGCAUAAUCUCUCAGGAGAAAAGCAGGGGAUCGCAAGACCUUGCGCUUUAGGAGCGGCCGAUGCCUGACUAGCUUGUUGGUAAGGUAAAAGCUUACCAAGGCUUCGAUCAGUAGCUGGUCUGAGAGGACGACCAGCCACACUGGGACUGAGACACGGCCCAGACUCCUACGGGAGGCAGCAGUGGGGAAUUUUGGACAAUGGGGGAAACCCUGAUCCAGCCAUGCCGCGUGAGUGAAGAAGGCCUUCGGGUUGUAAAGCUCUUUCAGCCGGAACGAAACGGU